GUUCCACGAGUGGAGGCGUUUGUACAGAGAGCUGCUUUUCCAUCCAAAGAGUAUAAAGUAGUACCAACGUUUGGAUCGAUAUCUGCAUCGAUCUGCCCACCCUUGUCUCCUGGAUCGUAGCUGAGAUCAGCGUGAACCACGUGGGUCUCUGCUCCCUGAUCUGUUUCCUGUGUUUGGAAAGAGUUCCAGCUUCAUCACGGAGUUUCUCUCGGUUUGUGGGCUCAUCUAAAGCUGAUCAGCAGGAGGAGAAGAGUCUGACGGAGCAGCAGAGGAACAUUUUCAGCCAUCUGGACUCAGCUGAGUCACUACAGAGGAAACAAUGAGCUCAACACAGAAGGACCAACAUGGAGCGAGAAGUCAGCGCUCUCAGGAGGCCGACAAACCUCACAGAAGAAAGGGAGAGAAAACAUACACCUGUGAUCAGUGUGGGAAGAAUUUUGCUUUGAAGUGUAAACUAAAACAGCAUCAGGUCAUCCACACAGGAGUUAAAGCGUACCUCUGUGACUUGUGUGGAAAGUCUUUUUCCUUGAAGAGUCACCUAAAACAACACCAACUCAUCCACAGUGGAGUUAAAGCGUACAGCUGUGAUCAGUGUGGCAGAGCUUUUACUCACAGUAGCAGCUUACAGAGGCAUCUAGUUACCCACUCUGGAAUUAAGGCAUACAGCUGUGACAUCUGUGGAAAAACUUUCAGCCGGAUUGAGAGCAGAAAUUUACACCUGCACAUUCACACCAGACAUGAUGUGUACUGCUGUGAUCAGUGUGGCAAACACUUUGCUAAACACACACACUUACGCCACAUGUUUACCCACACUGAGGAGAGACCUUAUAAAUGUGACCUGUGUGAGAAGACUUUUAAAGCUCCACAACACCUGAGAGAACACCAACAGAUCCACACCAGAAAGAGACUCUACAAGUGCAGUUACUGUGAGAAGCAGAGCGACACAGAUGCAUCCAGUUCUCAACCCUGUCAUCACUGUGGUGGUGGGAAAGAGUUUCGUUGUGACCUCUGUGGAAAAACCCUUCAGUCAACAACACAACCUAAAAAGACAUCAACGUAGACACACUGUAGACAAACUGAAAUACUGCAAAGAAUGUGGGAGAAGCUUCACCACAUCAAGUAACUUAAAACAACAUGAACUGAUUCACAGUGGGGUUAAAAAGCACCUCUGUGAUCAGUGUGGGUCAUCCUUCAUUACUGCAGGUCAGCUUAAAAAACACAAACGAGUCCACACAGGAGAGAAACCAUACAAGUGCAGACACUGUGACAAAAGCUUCUCACGAUCAGAUAGUUGUAACAGGCAUGAACGUACACACAUGGAAGGAAACUACAGCUGUGACCAGUGUGACAAGACCUUCAGGAAUCUCAGUUCAUACUCCAAACACAAACGAUCCCACGUUACUAAUAAACUGUUUCACUGUUACCAAUGUGCCAAAACAUUCACUAAAUUAUCUGCUCUGUGCAAACAUCAGCGUGAUCACUCAGGGCUGAAAUCACUCCCAUCACUGGAUCACAGUGAAUCUGAAGAGACAGAAAGAUCCUCUUCAGGUUUCAGGGUCAGGCUUAAAACCCUUGAGAUCAGGCUCCACAGAGUUCAUGUAAAAAUCUGAUGAGACAGCUGUGAACGAAAAUGUUCCUCUAGUAACAUUUUAACCCUCAGGGGUCAACGGUAUGUCAAAAUCACGUGACCAAUUGAAGAGCAACAAGAUGCACUAACCCAGAGUCUCCAUUUCAACUGGAGUCGAAAGUGUGGACUUCAAACUAUGUAACAGUUUUUAAAUUGUGUUGACAGGCUACGUAAAACCAGAUUCAUGAUAAUUAAAAAAAAUAAUACAUGCAAUGAUUUUUUUCUGAAUAAAACAGCAUUGUAUUUAGAGCACGAAGAAAGGGUAUAAGCGGCAUUUUCUAAGGAAGGCACUAGCCAACACUCUCCGCUUGCGGGCAAAAAAUAAAUAGAAAAAACAUCCUUUCCCUAUUUGUGUUAAAGUGUACUAAAAGUGUAAUAAAAAAUUAUAUGGCAACAUAUGGCAUUGGGUUGUUUAGGAAGAUGGGGAAGUUUUAGGAGUGACGCCAGUGAGAUGGAGAGAGUGAGCAUUCCUUUUAUCAAGGAAUUCUCAGAAUUUUUAACAAACAUACAUUCAAAAUAUAAUAUAAUUUUAACCGGUGAUUUUAACCUGCACAUAGAUAAUCCUUCUGACCCUACAUCAAAAGAAUUCUUAAACAUUCUUCACUGUAUGGAUUUUACCCAGCACGUCACGCAGCCGACUCACAACAAAGGACACACCCUGGACCUGGUCAUCACCCAUGGGCUGUCCACCAGUGUGUCUGUUGUUGACUUCGCUGUCUCUGACCACUACUGUGUGUUUUUUAACAUCACCGGUUUUAUUCAGCGGGAGACCUCGGUGCGAACUGUGAGGAGGCGCUAUCUAACCUCUGAAGUGGCUGCAAAUUAUACCAGGGUUUUAGACGAAUGCCCCCCUGUGAUUCUACCUGCACCCUGUGAUUUAAUUUUUAAUCAUUUUAACAGCAAACUGAAGAAAAGCCUUGACUCCGUUGCUCCGCUCACCACCAAAAAGAUUAACGUAAAACAUGUAUCACCCUGGAGAAACGAAGAAGUCAAAAAACUCAAAAGAAAUUGCAGGGCAGCAGAAAGGAGAUGGAGGAAAAAUAAAAAUGCAAUCAACCAUCAAAUACUUUGCGAGCAACAUAAAAUGUACAAUAAUACGCUAAGGAAUUCAAGAAAUUCAUACUUCGCCAAAAUAAUCAGUAAUAACAAAAAUAAUCUCAAGGUCCUCUUUUCUACCAUAGAUCAUUUAUUUAACCCUGAUUUUAACAGCUCCCAAAGAACCCCCACAGACUCACUCUGUGAGCAGUUUGCAGACCACUUCAGGGGAAAAAUCAGUGCCAUCAGAUGUUCUUCUUCUCGUGAUAUGAUUUUAAACACAUCUGAGGGCUCGAUUGUACCUGAGGGGACACUGGACAGCUUUGUCCUGGUUAAUGCUGAGAACCUUAAGAAAGUUUUCUCCACACUGAGACCGACCACACAACUAUGGGCACGCUAAUGUUUGUCUCAUGGAAUGUGCAUGGAGCUGGCUCUAGGGAAAAAAGGUUAAAA
Molecule: long non-coding RNA, 3115 nt
Organism: Pelmatolapia mariae (spotted tilapia)
Lineage: Eukaryota; Metazoa; Chordata; Actinopteri; Cichliformes; Cichlidae
Exons: 4
Source: RefSeq, a predicted model, not a curated record